GUGCUCACUUCGGCAGCACAUACACUAAAACUGGAAUGAUACAGAAAAGAUUAGCAUGGCCCAUGCACAAGAAUGAUAANAGAGAAGAUUAGCAUGGCCCAUGCGCAAGAAUGAUACGCAAAUUUGUGAAGUGUUACAUAUUUUU
RNAcentral lists this small nuclear RNA (145 nucleotides) under Sus scrofa (pig). Lineage: Eukaryota; Metazoa; Chordata; Mammalia; Artiodactyla; Suidae. The record is from RNAcentral.